ACGUCUUUGGUUUUUAAUUUACAAACUAAUUUUCUGUCCACAUUUCCACAAUAUGGCCUCCCGUGCACUUGACUCUGCCUACCCAAAGAUCAACAUCACGAAGGCAAAAAAUGCGUCGAGAUGAGCGAGUGCCACGCUGGGCCUAUAAUUUAGAAGAGAAGCGCAUUGCUGCUGAGGAACGUCUCGCAUCGGCAAUGGAGGCCAUUGUGCAGUUAAUAAGGGAAAUAAGAGACGAUAUUCGUAGCCAUAUCUCAGGUAUGAACAUAUAUUUUUGAAAUAAAUAUUAAUAAAAAUAUUAUACAUCUAAAUUUAAGACUAAAUGUACAUUCUAAUUAUAACUUUAAUUAUACACCUGAGUCAACUUUUUAUAUAAAAAAAAUAUCUUUUACAGGAUCAUCAAGACAGCACACUUAGAACACUAGCUGUGCCCGCGACUGUCUUCAUGGAAUUUUGUUCAGUUCUCACAGUACAGUAGUUAUAAAAUAAAUAAAUUUCUUAAAAUAAAAGUCAUCUAAGUUACUCCUCACUACAUCAACUAUCCACCAGUAAAAGUCCAUUCAUCCAUAUCUAUUUAAUAAAAAGCAGUUAUUUUAAUAUUACAAACAGACUAAUUUUAUUUAUUUCUAAAGAUUCAUAACUAAAACAAUAUUUUUUUAACAUAAUAAAAACUAAUCUAAGUUUAAUGUAAAUAACUACAUAAUGUCUUGUCCAAUGUAAACAAUUAAAAGUAUUUUUAUCAUAAAUAAAGGCUAUUUGUAUUAGAAUAAAAACUAAUAAAAAUAAUUAUAAUCACAAAAUAUUUCUAGCGUUCCAAAUCCUAUUAAUUAAUAUAACCCUACUUUCAUCUCGAGGAGCAUCAAUCCUUGCCUGUAUGCAAACUUGGUGCUGUUGGUCAUUGUCAAGAUCAUCAUCCUGUGAGUCAAGUAUUGGAAUAUUUUGUGCAUUGGCUAUAUUCUGCAGGACGACACAUGCAUUCACUAUCUUGCC
RNAcentral lists this unclassified non-coding RNA (987 nucleotides) under Melitaea cinxia (Glanville fritillary). RNAcentral describes it as "misc RNA ENSMCXG00005000095.1". Lineage: Eukaryota; Metazoa; Arthropoda; Insecta; Lepidoptera; Nymphalidae. The record is from RNAcentral.